This 253-nucleotide ribosomal RNA is filed under the name uncultured bacterium. RNAcentral describes it as "partial 16S ribosomal RNA". It matches the Rfam family "Bacterial small subunit ribosomal RNA", at positions 524 to 776 of the family's 1533-position model. The record is from RNAcentral.
UACGAAGGGGGCUAGCGUUGCUCGGAAUCACUGGGCGUAAAGCGUACGUAGGCGGCUUCUUAAGUCAGGGGUGAAAUCCUGGAGCUCAACUCCAGAACUGCCCUUGAUACUGAGGAGCUCGAGUCCGGAAGAGGUGAGUGGAACUGCGAGUGUAGAGGUGAAAUUCGUAGAUAUUCGCAAGAACACCAGUGGCGAAGGCGGCUCACUGGCCCGAUACUGACGCUGAGGCACGAAAGCGUGGGGAGCAAACAGG